UAGUUGCAUAAAGAGAAGGAAACUUCAGCAACCUAGUAGCCAACUAAGGUGCUUUUUGAUGUGGUUAAAUAACAAAAAAUGGCUUCUU
RNAcentral lists this non-coding RNA (88 nucleotides) under unclassified sequences. Its description in RNAcentral is "SAM-I-IV sequence". It matches the Rfam family "SAM-I/IV (S-adenosyl methionine) riboswitch aptamer". From Rfam's summary of the family: It is found upstream of a number of genes which code for proteins involved in methionine or cysteine biosynthesis. It has been found mostly in the order Actinomycetales. The record is from Rfam by way of RNAcentral.